GACGAACGCUGGCGGCGUGCUUAACACAUGCAAGUCGAACGGAAAGGCCCUGCUUUUGUGGGGUGCUCGAGUGGCGAACGGGUGUGUAACACGUGAGUAACCUGCCCUUGACUUUGGGAUAACUUCAGGAAACUGGGGCUCAUACCGGAUAGGAGCUCCUGCUGCAUGGUGGGGGUUGGAAAGUUUCGGCGGUUGGGGAUGGACUCGCGGCUUAUCAGCUUGUUGGUGGGGUAGUGGCUUACCAAGGCUUUGACGGGUAGCCGGCCUGAGAGGGUGACCGGCCACAUUGGGACUGAGAUACGGCCCAGACUCCUACGGGAGGCAGCAGUGGGGAAUAUUGCACAAUGGGCGGAAGCCUGAUGCAGCAACGCCGCGUGCGGGAUGACGGCCUUCGGGUUGUAAACCGCUUUCGCCUGUGACGAAGCGUGAGUGACGGUAAUGGGUAAAGAAGCACCGGCUAACUACGUG
RNAcentral lists this ribosomal RNA (468 nucleotides) under uncultured bacterium. RNAcentral describes it as "partial 16S ribosomal RNA". It matches the Rfam family "Bacterial small subunit ribosomal RNA", at positions 28 to 507 of the family's 1533-position model. The record is from RNAcentral.